Molecule: ribosomal RNA, 467 nt
Filed under: uncultured bacterium
Lineage: Bacteria
Description: bacterial SSU rRNA
Rfam family: Bacterial small subunit ribosomal RNA
Source: RNAcentral
UAGUCCACGCCCUAAACGAUGUUUACUCGAUGUUUGUCACUAGAUGAGCAUCCAAGGGAAACCGUUAAGUAAACCACCUGGGGAGUACGUUCGCAAGAAUGAAACUCAAAGGAAUUGACGGGGGCCCGCACACGCGGUGGAGCAUGUGGUUUAAUUCGAUGAUACGCGAGGAACCUUACCAGGGCUUAAAUGUAGAUUGCAUUAGGCAGAGAUGCUUAUUUCUUCGGACUAUCUACAAGGUGCUGCAUGGUUGUCGUCAGCUCGUGCCGUGAGGUGUCAGGUUAAGUCCUAUAACGAGCGCAACCCCUACCGUUAGUUGCUAGCAGGUCAUGCUGAGGACUCUAACGGGACUGCCGGUGCAAACCGUGAGGAAGGUGGGGACGACGUCAAAUCAUCACGGCCCUUACGUCCUGGGGCCACACACGUGCUACAAUGGGCCGGUACAGAGGGGAAGCCACCACGUAAGU